UGGGGUGUUCUUGGGUGUUCCUGAGGUGUUCUUUGGGUGUUCCUGGGGUGUUCUUUGGGUGUUCCUGGGGUGUUCUUUGGUGUUCCUGGGGUGUUCUUUGGGUGUUCCUGGGGUGUUCUUGAGUGUUCUUUGGUGUUCUUGGAGUGUUGCUGGGUGUUCCUGGAGUGUUUCUGGGUGUUCCUGGGUGCUCCUGGAGUGUUCCUGGGUGUUCUUGGAGUGUUCCUGGGGUGUUCUUUGGUGUUCCUGGAGUGUUUCUGGGUGUUCUUGAGUGUUCCUUGGUGUUCCUGGGGUGUUCUUUGGGUGUUCUUGAAUGCUCUUUGGGUGUUGCUGGGUGUUCUUUGGUGUUCUUUGGGUGUUCUUGGGGUGUUCUUUGGUGUUCUUGGGGUGGUUUUUGGUGUUCCUGGGGUGUUCCCAGCAGCUCCCAGCACGGUUUUGGUGGGGUUGGGGUUUUUUUGGGUGGUCAAGGCGGCUCAGGGACGCUCGGGAGAGGUCCUGGAACCGCUGCAAUUGUGAGAUGGAACGGGAAAAAGUUCCUGGAAUUGUGAGAUGGAACGGGAAAAAGUUCCUGGAAUUGUGAGAUAGAAUGGGAAGAAGUUCCUGGAAUUGUGAGAUGGAACAGGAAAAAGUUCCUGGAAUUGUGAGAUGGAACAGGAAAAAGUUCCUGGAAGUGCUGGAAUUACAGCUCUGGAAAAGCCUGGAAAGUUCUGGAAUUAUGGCUGUGGAAGGGCCUGGAAUUACAGCUCUGGAAUGUUCUGGAAUUACGGCUCUGGAAGGGUCUGGAAUGUUCUGGAAUUACAGCUCUGGAAUGUUCUGGAAUUGCAGCUCUGGAAAGUGCUGGAAUUACGGCUGUGGAAUGUUCUGGAAUGUUCUGGAAAGUCCUGGAAUUAUGGCUCUGGAAGGGCCUGGGAUUACAGCUCUGGAAGGGUCUGGAAUUACAGCUCUGGAAAGUUCUGGAAUUACAGCUCUGGAAAGUGCUGGAAUUACAGCUCUGGAAGGGUCUGGAAUGUUCUGGGAAGUGCUGGAAAGUGCUGGGAUUACAGCUCUGGAAAAGCCUGGAAAGUUCUGGAAUUGCAGCUCUGGAACAUUCUGGAAGAGUCUGGAAUGUUCUGGGAAGUGCUGGAAUUAUGGCU
This 1130-nucleotide long non-coding RNA is filed under the name Parus major (Great Tit). RNAcentral's name for it is "lncRNA (ENSPMJG00000002158.1)". The record is from RNAcentral. Lineage: Eukaryota; Metazoa; Chordata; Aves; Passeriformes; Paridae.